GAUGAACGCUGACAGAAUGCUUAACACAUGCAAGUCUUUGGCGAAGCUGUGCUUGCACAGCCUAGCCAAGGCGGACGGGUGAGUAACGCGUAAGGAACUUGCCCUGCAGUCAGGGAUAACAGACGGAAACGACUGAUAAGACCUGGUAAAGUCAGGCGGACUCAUGUCCAGCCUGAUGAAAAGAGAUGCUGCAGGAGAGCCUUGCGUCCUAUUAGCUUGUUGGUGGGGUAACGGCCCACCAAGGCGAUGAUAGGUAGCCGGCCUGAGAGGGUGGACGGCCACAAGGGGAAUGAGAGACGGCCCUUACGCCUACGGGAGGCAGCAGUGGGGAAUAUUGGACAAUGGGGGCAACCCUGAUCCAGCAAUUCUGUGUGCACGAUGAAGGUUUUCGGAUUGUAAAGUGCUUUCAGCAGGGAAGAAAAAAAUGACGGUACCUGCAGAAGAAGCGACGGCUAAAUACGUG
RNAcentral lists this ribosomal RNA (463 nucleotides) under uncultured bacterium. RNAcentral describes it as "partial 16S ribosomal RNA". It matches the Rfam family "Bacterial small subunit ribosomal RNA", at positions 28 to 507 of the family's 1533-position model. The record is from RNAcentral.